AGCUCACUGGUCGAGUCGGCCUGCGCGGAAGAUGUAACGGGGCUAAACCAUGCACCGAAGCUGCGGCAGCGACACUCAGGUGUUGUUGGGUAGGGGAGCGUUCUGUAAGCCUGUGAAGGUGUGUCGUGAGGCAUGCUGGAGGUAUCAGAAGUGCGAAUGCUGACAUAAGUAACGAUAAAGCGGGUGAAAAGCCCGCUCGCCGGAAGACCAAGGGUUCCUGUCCAACGUUAAUCGGGGCAGGGUGAGUCGACCCCUAAGGCGAGGCCGAAAGGCGUAGUCGAUGGGAAACGGGUUAAUAUUCCCGUACUUGGUGUUACUGCGAAGGGGGGACGGAGAAGGCUAUGUUGGCCGGGCGACGGUUGUCCCGGUUUAAGCGUGUAGGUGUGUGUUCCAGGUAAAUCCGGUUCACUUUAACACUGAGGCGUGAUGACGAGGCACUACGGUGCUGAAGCAACAAAUGCCCUGCUUCCAGGAAAAGCCUCUAAGCAUCAGGUAACAUCAAAUCGUACCCCAAACCGACACAGGUGGUCAGGUAGAGAAUACCAAGGCGCUUGAGAGAACUCGGGUGAAGGAACUAGGCAAAAUGGUGCCGUAACUUCGGGAGAAGGCACGCUGACACGUAGGUGAAGUGAUUUACUCAUGGAGCUGAAGUCAGUCGAAGAUACCAGCUGGCUGCAACUGUUUAUUAAAAACACAGCACUGUGCAAACACGAAAGUGGACGUAUACGGUGUGACGCCUGCCCGGUGCCGGAAGGUUAAUUGAUGGGGUCAGCGCAAGCGAAGCUCCUGAUCGAAGCCCCGGUAAACGGCGGCCGUAACUAUAACGGUCCUAAGGUAGCGAAAUUCCUUGUCGGGUAAGUUCCGACCUGCACGAAUGGCGUAAUGAUGGCCAGGCUGUCUCCACCCGAGACUCAGUGAAAUUGAACUCGCUGUGAAGAUGCAGUGUACCCGCGGCAAGACGGAAAGACCCCGUGAACCUUUACUAUAGCUUGACACUGAACAUUGAGCCUUGAUGUGUAG
RNAcentral lists this ribosomal RNA (1020 nucleotides) under Salmonella enterica. Its description in RNAcentral is "partial 23S ribosomal RNA". It matches the Rfam family "Bacterial large subunit ribosomal RNA", at positions 1139 to 2141 of the family's 2925-position model. Lineage: Bacteria; Pseudomonadati; Pseudomonadota; Gammaproteobacteria; Enterobacterales; Enterobacteriaceae. The record is from RNAcentral.